UACAGAGGUCUCAAGCGUUGUUCGGAUUCAUUGGGCGUAAAGGGCGCGUAGGCGGUCGUGACAAGUCACUUGUGAAAUCUCCGGGCUUAACUCGGAACGGUCAAGUGAUACUGUCGGACUAGAGUACAGAAGGGGCAACUGGAAUUCUCGGUGUAGCGGUGAAAUGCGUAGAUAUCGAGAGGAACACCUGCGGCGAAGGCGGGUUGCUGGGCUGACACUGACGCUGAGGCGCGAAAGCCAGGGAGCGAACGGG
RNAcentral lists this ribosomal RNA (253 nucleotides) under uncultured bacterium. RNAcentral describes it as "partial 16S ribosomal RNA". It matches the Rfam family "Bacterial small subunit ribosomal RNA", at positions 524 to 776 of the family's 1533-position model. The record is from RNAcentral.